AUGGUUCAGUCGAACGUAAGCAUCGUCAUAUUGUUGAAGUUGGUCUUACUCUUUUGGCCCAUGCAUCUGUUCCGUUUCGGUUUUGGAGUAAUGCUUUCACCACUGCAUGCUUUCUCAUCAACCGUUCUCCUUAAUGAACAACCUGAUUAUACCUUUCUCAAGGUAUUUGGGUGUGCUUGCUGGCCGCAUCUUCGUCCAUAUAACAAGCGCAAGCUUGAGUUUCGUUCUAAGAAGUGUGUUUUUCUUGGCUAUAGCUCUCUUCAUAAAGGUUACAAAUGUCUUCAUGUUCCCACUAAUCGUGUCUAUAUAUCUCGGGACGUCGUGUUUGAUGAGCAUGUUUUUCCCUUUGCCAACCUUCCUGUGUCCACUGUCGAACCACCAUCCCUGCAUUCAUCCUCUGUUGCUUCUGACCAAUUUGAUGAUGUUGCAUACUCUCCUUUGCUGUUACCUAACCAUGGUGCAGGAACCGGACGUGGAGCUCGUUUGGAGCUGUUGGAGGAUUCACCAUCAUCAUCGUCGUCUUCUGGUGGGCACGUCGAUCGCCCUAUGUUGCAUGGCAUCGAUUCGCGUGCCCAUGCAUGGUCACCCGACGAGCCCGUCGCGCCGAGCAUCUCCACUGCUCGGUCCGCUACGCCAGCGAUCGCCGAGUCUCCAGCGGCUCGGCCUUUUUCGCCAGCGGCCGCCGAGUCGCCCGCGGCUCGGCCCGUCACGCCGUCUUCGCCCGCGGCUCGGGUCCUCACGUCGCCUUCAUCAGCGGAUCGGCCCGCGACAACGGCCGCGCCACAGCCCACUAUGCCGAGCUCGCCAUCGGCCCGGUCUGUGAUGCCGGAGUCGCCAGCUGCUUCGUCUGUUCUGCCAGUUUCGCCGGUGGGCCGGCCUUCUUCGCCGACCGAGUCCGAGGCUACCGCGACUGGCUCCUCGUCACCGGCUGACUCAUCAACAUCGCCGUCCUCCAGCCCGUUGCAGGCUGCUCCGUCGACCUCGGUGGUUCCUGUGUCUCGACCACAUACACGCAGUCGCAGUGGCAUUUUCAAACCUAAGGAACGUACGGAUGGUACGGUUGCUUGGUUGGCUGCUUGUUUGGCUGCUGCUGUUGCGGAUCCAUCUUCUGAGCCUCGCUCAUAUCAGGCUGCCCUGCGCAUUCCACAUUGGCGAGAGGCUAUGGAGCAGGAGUUUCAUGCUCUUCUUCGUAACAAGACAUGGACUCUCGUUCCUCCACCACCACGGGUAAAUGUUAUUGACUCAAAAUGGGUAUUCAAAGUGAAGAAGCAUUCGGAUGGAUCUAUUGAGCGUUACAAAGCGCGACUUGUUGCUCGCGGCUUUCGACAGCUUCAUGGUCUUGACUAUGAGGACACCUUCAGUCCUGUCGUCAAGCCUACCACUAUUCGGCUUCUUCUCUCCAUUGUUGUUUCUCGUGGUUGA
This 1422-nucleotide ribosomal RNA is filed under the name Triticum aestivum (bread wheat). RNAcentral describes it as "partial small subunit ribosomal RNA". The record is from RNAcentral. Lineage: Eukaryota; Viridiplantae; Streptophyta; Magnoliopsida; Poales; Poaceae.